GACCCCUUAGUUCAGUGGUAGAGCGUCGCAUUCCAGUCGCGAAGGUCGUCCGUUCAAUCCGGGCAGGGGUCA
Molecule: non-coding RNA, 72 nt
Organism: Mycena galopus ATCC 62051
Lineage: Eukaryota; Fungi; Basidiomycota; Agaricomycetes; Agaricales; Mycenaceae
Source: the annotation of a GenBank genome assembly